This 107-nucleotide ribosomal RNA is filed under the name Pteropus alecto (black flying fox). Lineage: Eukaryota; Metazoa; Chordata; Mammalia; Chiroptera; Pteropodidae. The record is from RNAcentral.
GUCUACGGCCAUAUCACCCUGGAAACGCCCUAUCUCAUCUGAUCUCAGAAGCUAAGCAGGGUGGGGCCUGGUUAGUACUUGGAUGGGAGAAUCAAGUGUCAUGGUGU